UCAGUGCUCUUUCAGGUCUGGGGCUGAAACCUGUCUUGUUUCCCCAUCAGAGGCAGUCCCAGGCCCGAAAGAGGAGAGAU
Non-coding RNA from Homo sapiens (human), 80 nucleotides. NCBI's taxonomy places the organism in Eukaryota, Metazoa, Chordata, Mammalia, Primates, Hominidae. The record is from RefSeq and is marked provisional.